RNAcentral lists this ribosomal RNA (253 nucleotides) under uncultured bacterium. RNAcentral describes it as "partial 16S ribosomal RNA". It matches the Rfam family "Bacterial small subunit ribosomal RNA", at positions 524 to 776 of the family's 1533-position model. The record is from RNAcentral.
UACGGAAGGUGCAAGCGUCGUCCGGAUUGACUGGGUGUAAAGGGCGCGUAGGCGGAGAUGUGUGUCGGGAGUGAAAUCGUGCGGCUUAACCGUACAAUUGCUUUCGAAACUACAUCCCUUGAGUACAGAAGGGGUAGAUGGAAUACCUGGUGUAGCGGUGGAAUGCGUAGAUAUCAGGUAGAACACCGGAGGCGAAGGCGGUCUACUGGUCUGUAACUGACGCUGAGGCGCGAAAGUGUGGGGAGCAAACAGG